Molecule: long non-coding RNA, 913 nt
Filed under: Nicotiana benthamiana
Lineage: Eukaryota; Viridiplantae; Streptophyta; Magnoliopsida; Solanales; Solanaceae
Description: long non-coding RNA (NBEN_LNC034683)
Source: RNAcentral
UUCAAUAAGUCACUCACUCGCAAGAUAGUUUCUUACUGAGCAGAGUUGACACGAAGUAGUCUAUGUUCUUGUUGGUAUUUUGUUCGAUUCCUUUUUUGUUAAUGUGGCUGUGUUUUCGUACUGUGAACUUACAGUGUUCCCUGUGACCUAACAAAUGUGAAAUCUUGUUGGUGUUUUCCUAUGAUUUGUGGCUAUGUUUUCGUACUGUGAACUUACACUGUUCCCUGUGACCUAACAAAUGUGAAAUCUUGUUGGUGUUUUUCUAUAAACGUAUUUAUUUGAUUUAGUCGUUUGAACUAAGCAAAUCAUGACAGAGUUCCAACUGAUUUACUGUCAAGUCUUCUUUUUAUAUUCUGCUCAUAAUAGAUAUUGGUUGAUUUCUGCAGCGGAGUGCAAUGAAUGAUUGUUGCUAACAAAUUUGAGGAGUUUAUGCUUCUCCGUCUCUUGCUUCCUGGGAAGGUUCCUUCCCCGUUAUGUUUAAUUGGGCAGUCAUGAUCAAGAAAACUCUACAGUUUUUCUGUGAGAUUAUUUGUGGAUAUAUAAGGAGUCCUUUUUUUUUUUUUUGCAAUUCCUAGAUAUUUUGUUCUCCCUGCACAGAGAAGAAGUUUUCUGUUGACUCUGAAUUGCGUUGCUUUGGGGCCACAAAGUGUGUAGCAGCACUUGUUGGAUUUCCCAUAUAAGAAUUUCUGGUAGUGAUGAUCAUCAUCUGUUGUAAGUUUUCCUUUAUUCUUUUGAGGGUUGAAGUUUUGUGCUGUGGAUUUAUACAUUAAAAUGUGACGUCCAUGACGACAAAUGGACAGACAGGGGCGGUUCAACUAGAAGGAUUGAAGGCUUUAGACUAAGUAAGCUUAUGAAGAAACAAAUCCCUCAUUAGGAAGGGAGAAGUGAAUGAAGUGCUUUAUAAAAAAUAAAC